Molecule: non-coding RNA, 28 nt
Filed under: Bombyx mori (domestic silkworm)
Lineage: Eukaryota; Metazoa; Arthropoda; Insecta; Lepidoptera; Bombycidae
Source: RNAcentral
UCAAUCAAUAAAUGAGCUGAAAUGAUAC